Molecule: ribosomal RNA, 468 nt
Filed under: uncultured bacterium
Lineage: Bacteria
Description: partial 16S ribosomal RNA
Rfam family: Bacterial small subunit ribosomal RNA
Source: RNAcentral
GACGAACGCUGGCGGCGUGCCUAACACAUGCAAGUCGAACGGAAAGGCCCUGCUUUUGUGGGGUGCUCGAUUGGCGAACGGGUGAGUAACACGUGAGUAACCUGCCCUUGACUUUGGGAUAACUUCAGGAAACUGGGGCUAAUACCGGAUAGGAGCUCCUGCUGCAUGGUGGUGGUUGGAAAGUUUCGGCGGUUGUGGAUGGUCUCGCGGCUUAUCAGCUGGUUGGUGGGGUAGUGGCUUACCAAGGCUUUGACGGGUAGCCGGCCUGAGAGGGUGACCGGCCACAUUGGUCCUGAGAUACGGCCCAGACUCCUACGGGAGGCAGCAGUGGGGAAUAUUGCACAAUGGGCGGAAGCCUGAUGCAGCAACGCCGCGUGCGGGAUGACGGCCUUCGGGUUGUAAACCGCUUUCGCCGGAGACGAAGCGUGAGUGACGGUAAUGGGUAAAGAAGCACCGGCUAACUACGUG